UCCCUGCCCCAGCCUGACCUCUGCUCCCUCAUUUUGGGGGCCCCAGCAGGUCCAAUCUUCAGUGAGAACAGAAUCCAGGGGUAACUGAAGUGCCAUUUCCAGACGUGUUCCAGGACUCUUUCUAGCCAUUCAGCCAACAAAUACUUCCUGAAGGCCUACUAUGCGCUUGACAUAGUACUGGAGACUGGACAUUCAGCAGUGAUCAGAUGGACAAAAGCCUCUGCCGGACAGUUCCACGUCCCAGUGCCACGCCACGUGCUGUUUGGGGGCCUUCAGCAUCUGUAGGAAAACAUGCCAGACUUAACCUGUCUGGGCUGCUGUCACAAACUGCCAUCGACUGAGCCACUUAAACAGAAAACAAGUAUCUCACAGUCUCGGAGACUGGAAGUCUGAGACCAAGAUGGCAGCGUGGUCAGGUUGCUGAGAGUCCUCUUCUGGAUUGCAUCCUGCCAAUUUCUCACUGUGUCCUCAUGUGGCCAAAAGGAGGAGGAAGAGGUUAGGACACAUUCACACAGAGGGAAGACUGUGUGAGGACACAAUAAGAAGUUUGCCAUCUGCGAGCUAAGGAGAGAGAAAUGAACAGUCACACCCUGCCAACACCUGAAAAUCGGACUUUCCAGAAUGGUGAGGAAAUAAAUUCCUAUUCUUUAAGAAACCUAAGCUGUGGUAUCUUGUUGUGGGGCAAUAUAGUGAAAAUCAUAUGCUGUAUGUUUUGUUGAAUGUUCUGGUUUAUU
This is a long non-coding RNA of Talpa occidentalis (Iberian mole), 734 nucleotides long. RefSeq lists it as uncharacterized. The transcript has 3 exons. The record is from RefSeq and is a predicted model, not a curated record. Lineage: Eukaryota; Metazoa; Chordata; Mammalia; Eulipotyphla; Talpidae.